Molecule: ribosomal RNA, 301 nt
Filed under: uncultured bacterium
Lineage: Bacteria
Description: partial 16S ribosomal RNA
Rfam family: Bacterial small subunit ribosomal RNA
Source: RNAcentral
CAGUAGCCGCGGGAAUACGUAGGUGGCAAGCGUUGUCCGGAAUUAUUGGGCGUAAAGGGCUCGCAGGCGGUUUCUUAAGUCUGAUGUGAAAGCCCCCGGCUCAACCGGGGAGGGUCAUUGGAAACUGGGAAACUUGAGUGCAGAAGAGGAGAGUGGAAUUCCACGUGUAGCGGUGAAAUGCGUAGAGAUGUGGAGGAACACCAGUGGCGAAGGCGACUCUCUGGUCUGUAACUGACGCUGAGGAGCGAAAGCGUGGGGAGCGAACAGGAUUAGAUACCCCCGUAGUCCUGUCUCUUAUACA